UUGGUAGUGGUCCUAUCAUGUCUAGCCUUCAGCAAGCAAAAGGCCAUGUUGGAGGGAUUGUGACUAGUUUUUAGGCAGGGACAUGUUGCUGUUUAGUGAAGAAUUGACAGCCUUGGCAUUUUUGGACUAAUUGUUUUGCAUCUGGCAACGCCAUGGGCUAGUAGAAGCCUGCUCGGAAAGCCUUGCCUACUAUUGUUUGUGAAGAUACAUGGUUGCCAUAGAUUCCUUUGUGAAUUUCUUCUAGGAUGUCGUGGUCAUCUUCUCGGGUGACACACUUCAUGGGUACCCCUGAUGAUGCACUUUUCCUGUAGAGCUUGUCUCCGACUAGAAUGUAGUUUUUUCCUCAUUGGGAAACUUGCUCAGCUUGACUUUUGUCAGAUGGUAACUUAUGGUC
This 394-nucleotide long non-coding RNA is filed under the name Setaria viridis. RNAcentral describes it as "long non-coding RNA (SVIR_LNC007782)". The record is from RNAcentral. Lineage: Eukaryota; Viridiplantae; Streptophyta; Magnoliopsida; Poales; Poaceae.